GACGAACGCUGGCGGCGUGCUUAACACAUGCAAGUCGAACGGAAAGGCCCUGCUUUUGUGGGGUUCUCGAUUGGCGAACGGGUGAGUAACACGUGAGUAACCUGCCCUUGACUUUGGGGUAACUUCAGGAAACUGGGGCUAAUACCGGAUAGGAGCUCCUGCUGCAUGUUGGUGGUUGGAGAGUUUCGGCGGUUGGGGAUGGACUCGCGGCUUAUCAGCUGGUUGGUGUGGUAGUGGCGUACCAAGGCUUUGACGGGUAGCCGGCCUGAGAGGGUGACCGGCAACAUUGGGACUGCGAUACGGCCCAGUAGGCUACGGGAGGCAGCAGUGGGGAAUAUUGCACAAUGGGCGGACGUCUGAUGCAGCAACGCCGCGUGCGGGAUGACGGCUUUCGGGUUGUAAACCGCUUUCGCCUGUGACGAAGCGUGAGUGACGGUAAUGGGUAAAGAAGCACCGGCUAACUACGUG
RNAcentral lists this ribosomal RNA (468 nucleotides) under uncultured bacterium. RNAcentral describes it as "partial 16S ribosomal RNA". It matches the Rfam family "Bacterial small subunit ribosomal RNA", at positions 28 to 507 of the family's 1533-position model. The record is from RNAcentral.